Molecule: ribosomal RNA, 466 nt
Filed under: uncultured bacterium
Lineage: Bacteria
Description: partial 16S ribosomal RNA
Rfam family: Bacterial small subunit ribosomal RNA
Source: RNAcentral
GAUGAACGCUGGCGGCGUGCUUAACACAUGCAAGUCGAACGGAAAGGCCCAAGCUUGCUUGGGUACUCGAGUGGCGAACGGGUGAGUAACACGUGGGUGAUCUGCCCUGCACUUCGGGAUAAGCCUGGGAAACUGGGUCUAAUACUGGAUAGGACCACUUCUUGGAUGUUGUGGUGGAAAGUUUUUUCGGUGUGGGAUGAGCUCGCGGCCUAUCAGCUUGUUGGUGGGGUAAUGGCCUACCAAGGCGUCGACGGGUAGCCGGCCUGGGAGGGUGUACGGCCACAGUGGGACUGAGGGAGGGCCCAGACUGCUACGGGAGGCAGCAGUGGGGAAUAUUGCACAAUGGGCGCAAGCCUGAUGCAGCGACGCCGCGUGGGGGAUGACGGCCUUCGGGUUGUAAACUCCUUUCGCUAGGGACGAAGCGUUUUGUGACGGUACCUGGAGAAGAAGCACCGGCUAACUACGU